RNAcentral lists this ribosomal RNA (497 nucleotides) under uncultured bacterium. Its description in RNAcentral is "partial 16S ribosomal RNA". It matches the Rfam family "Bacterial small subunit ribosomal RNA", at positions 28 to 507 of the family's 1533-position model. The record is from RNAcentral.
GAUGAACGCUGGCGGCGUGCCUAAUACAUGCAAGUCGAGCGAACAGACGAGGAGCUUGCUCCUCUGACGUUAGCGGCGGACGGGUGAGUAACACGUGGAUAACCUACCUAUAAGACUGGGAUAACUUCGGGAAACCGGAGCUAAUACCGGAUAAUAUAUUGAACCGCAUGGUUCAAUAGUGAAAGACGGUUUUGCUGUCACUUAUAGAUGGAUCCGCGCCGCAUUAGCUAGUUGGUAAGGUAACGGCUUACCAAGGCAACGAUGCGUAGCCGACCUGAGAGGGUGAUCGGCCACACUGGAACUGAGACACGGUCCAGACUCCUACGGGAGGCAGCAGUAGGGCAUCUUCCGCAAUGGGCGAAAGCCUGACGGAGCAACGCCGCGUGAGUGAUGAAGGUCUUCGGAUCGUAAAACUCUGUUAUUAGGGAAGAACAAAUGUGUAAGUAACUAUGUACGUCUUGACGGUACCUAAUCAGAAAGCCACGGCUAACUACGUG